GGGAAGACUUCAUCCCCUAAAGGGGAACUAAAGGGGACGUAAUCCCCCUUUAGUUCUUCUUCUUCCCCUUUAGGGGAACUAAAGGGGAACCCCUUCGUCUUCGUCCCCUUUAGUUCCCCUUUAGGGGAUGAACCAAAGGGGAACACUAAAGUGUUCUUCUUCUUCCCCUAAAGGGGAACUUUAGUUCCCCUUUAGGGGAUAAACUAAAGGGGUGAAAACGAAGGGGAAGAACUAAAGGGGAAGACGACAUCCCCGAAGGGGGAACAUCAUCCCCUAAAGGGUUGUCCCCUUUAGUUCUUCUCCUAAAGUUCCCCUUUAGGGGAAGAACUAAAGGGGUGUUCUUCUUCCCCUAAAGGGGACGGAGACGAAGGGGGUUCCCCUUCGGGGAUGAACCAAAGGCUUCCCCUAAAGGGGAACUUUAGUUUAUCCCCUAUAGGGGAACUAAAGUUCCCCUUUAGGGGAAGAAGAAGAACACUAAAGGGGAUGAACAAAAAGGGGACGAUUUCCCCCUUCGGGGAGCCAAAGGGGAUAACCAAAGGGUUCCCUUGUAAUUCCCUUUAGGGACAACCCCCGAAGGCUUCCCCCCCCCCCAAAGGUUGUCAUUCCCUUUAGGGACAACCCCGAAGGGUUCCCCUUUGUUCAUCCCCUAAAGGGUUUCCAAAAUUUGUUCCCCUUUAGGGGAAGACAACCCCGAAGGGUUUCCAAAGGGUUUCCAAAGGGUUUCCAAAGGGUUUCCAAAGGGUUCCAAAGGGUUUCCAAUGGGUUCCAAUGGGUUCCAAAGGGUUUCCAAAGGGUUCCAAAGGUUCCCCUUCGGUUACCCUUUGGGGAUGACGGAUGACAAGGGGAGCCAAAGGGUUGUCAUCCCCAAAGGGUUGUCCACUUUGUUCAUCGUCCCCUUUAGUUCAUCCCCUAAAGUUCCCCCUUUAGGGGAAGAACUAAAGGGGUUCCCCUUUAGGGGAAGAACCAAAGUCUUCGUCUUCUUUAGUUCCCCUAAAGGGGAUGAACCAAAGUCUCUUCUUCUUCCCCUUUAGGGGACUCCGUCUUCUUUAGUUCCCCUAAAGGGGAUGAAGAAGUGCUCCCCUUCUUCCCCUAAAGGGGAACUUUGGUGUGUUCUUCCCCUUUAGGGGAACUAA
Molecule: long non-coding RNA, 1133 nt
Filed under: Volvox carteri
Lineage: Eukaryota; Viridiplantae; Chlorophyta; Chlorophyceae; Chlamydomonadales; Volvocaceae
Description: long non-coding RNA (VCAR_LNC004282)
Source: RNAcentral